GGUAAUUAGCGGUUCCCCUCCUCCUCACUCCCGGAUUCCCUUCAACUUGUGACCCGGCGGCCAAAGGUGUGAAUGGGCAGCCAAAAGGGUGGAAAGGGUUUCCGGAAGGUCUGAGGCGGCCGAGCCCGGCCGGAAGUCGGGUGGGCGCGGAAGACGGCGUGGGAGGGGAUUGGCUGAGCCGCUCUGGCAGGCGGGGUGGGCGGCUGCGCAGAACAGCCCAGGGCGGGGAGCCGAGGCUGCUGGACUCGCCCGGGAGGUCCGGGCGCGCGAAGCGGGGCAGGGAAGUUUGCAGGUGUGGGUGUAGCGAGUGGCGUAGGGGACAGGGCGCCCCCGGGUCCACGAUGCAGCCCCCGGAUGAAGCCGCAGUAUUUUCCUUAUAUGAUCGGGCCCCGUGACUGGCGGCGCCGCCGGCCCGGAGCCUGAGAGGAUUAUGAAAACGUGUCAGGCGAAAUGGGGCCAGGGACCCGGGGGCUGGGAGGUUAGGGGGAGGCAGUUAGGCUAAGGUUUGGGUGUGGUUAGGGUGGCCCCUGCCGCUCUGCGAGCCCUGGUCGAUGAUGACGUGACCACUGCGCAAUCUGAGUUCUGGGAACUAGGUGAUGGAGCGUGUUCUGAGAACGGACUGAGACCGGGCGAGCAGGGGCUGACGCGGGCGGUAGACCCCAGCGCCAGGGCUCGGGGGCGGGCCACGCUGCCUCUGGCUUAGUUCGGUGGUUGGAAAGCGGUGGGUGGGAGGCUCUGAGGUGUUCUGUGAGCUGUCUGGGAACGCCCGCCCCAAAUCCAGGUUUUCAAACGCGUUCGUGGUCCUCUCAUUUUGUAUUUUUUUUUUUUUUUAGCCCAACGUUUUUAUUAUGAAAACUUAGAAACUUACAGGAACGUGCAGAGACUUCUACGUGAACUACCCGUAUGUUCAUCACCCGUAUUCUACAAUUGUUAACACUUUGCCAUAUUUGCUGUAUCACAUCUUUCCACCUUUAUAUAUAUAUAUAUAUAUAUAUACACACACACGCACACACACAUUGUUUUUUUCUUUGUCAGCCUUAGUACACUUCAGGAAUACUUUGGCUCACGUUAAAGAUACUGAAACACCCACCUGGUGGAAGAAGUCAACUGCCUGUUGACCACAAGCAGGAGACCCCAGACUGGCUGGAAUCAGAAGGUUGGUGAUGCUGACUCCCCGCCAACAUCAGGUGAUGUCAGAAAAAUGUUUAGGAGCUGAUCAGACACUCUGCAACCCUAAGCCUCACUCUGUCUUUAAAAAGCGUUUCCCUGAAGUUCACCCAGAGUUCAGGUCUUUUGAACAUUAGCUGCCCAUACUCCUCCUUGGCCCUGUGUUACACUGCCCUUUCCUUCACCAUCACCUGGUGUUGGUAGAUUGGUUUUACUGUGUGCAGGCCAGCAGACCCAAGUUUGGUUCCCCAAAAACUGUAGUGAGAUUGUUUCUAAUCUGUAGACCAACUUGGGGACAAUUGACAUUUCUGUAGUAUGGAGUUUUCUUAUCCAUGAAAUGUUUUUCCAGUACUUUAAUGUCAUUGUUAAUGUUUUUCACUUAUGUAAGUUACUCCAUACAGAUCUUAUAUUGUUCCCACUGAUUUGUAAUGACAUCUUUGCCAUAUACAAAGUUAUACAUAUGAGUCUAUCUCUGAGCUCUCUGUUUUAUUCCAUUGAUCCACUGCACGCAAACUGCCUUGUUUGAAUUAACUCAGUAAGUCUUAUUUUAUAGGGAGUUUCCUUCUACCUGCAACUUGCAGGCUGCAGUUUGCCAACCUCUGGUUUAAAUGAUCAUGAUGCAUGUUUGAAAUACAGACCCCUGAAUAAAGUGUCUUAAGAAAGCAUUAAAAAUAAACUUUUCA
Molecule: long non-coding RNA, 1850 nt
Organism: Cervus elaphus (red deer)
Lineage: Eukaryota; Metazoa; Chordata; Mammalia; Artiodactyla; Cervidae
Exons: 2
Source: RefSeq, a predicted model, not a curated record